RNAcentral lists this ribosomal RNA (253 nucleotides) under uncultured Eubacteriales bacterium. RNAcentral describes it as "uncultured Clostridiales bacterium partial 16S ribosomal RNA". It matches the Rfam family "Bacterial small subunit ribosomal RNA", at positions 524 to 776 of the family's 1533-position model. Lineage: Bacteria; Bacillati; Bacillota; Clostridia; Eubacteriales. The record is from RNAcentral.
UACGGAGGGGGCAAGCGUUAUCCGGAAUUACUGGGUGUAAAGGGAGCGUAGACGGUGAUGUAAGUCUGGAGUGAAAGGCGGGGGCCCAACCCCCGGACUGCUCUGGAAACUAUGUGACUGGAGCGCAGGAGAGGUGAGCGGAAUUCCUAGUGUAGCGGUGAAAUGCGUAGAUAUCACGCAGAACCCCGAUUGCGAAGGCAGCAUACCGGUGCACAACUGACGCUCAGGCACGAAAGCGUGGGUAUCGAACAGG